This 422-nucleotide ribosomal RNA is filed under the name uncultured bacterium. RNAcentral's name for it is "bacterial SSU rRNA". It matches the Rfam family "Bacterial small subunit ribosomal RNA", at positions 355 to 774 of the family's 1533-position model. The record is from RNAcentral.
UGAGGAAUAUUGGACAAUGGGCGCAAGCCUGAUCCAGCCCUGCCUCUUUCAUUAAUCAUCCUCUCUUUUUUUUAACCUUCUUUUUUCCUUUAAGAACCCCUCCUACUUUUAUUAUCUUUACUUUCCCUUAAUCAUCCUUCUCUUCUCACUCCUUUCCAUCAUCCUCUUUAAUACGGAGGAUCCAAGCGUUAUCCUGAAUCAUUGGGUUUAAAGGGUCCGUAGGCGGUUUAGUAAGUCAGUGGUGAAAGCCCAUCGCUCAACGAUGGAACGGCCAUUGAUACUGCUAGACUUGAAUUAUUAGGAAGUAACUAGAAUAUGUAGUGUAGCGGUGAAAUGCUUAGAUAUUAAAUGGAAUACCAAUUGCGAAGGCAGGUUACUAAUAAUGGAUUGACGCUGAUGGACGAAAGCGUGGGGAGCGAACA